RNAcentral lists this unclassified non-coding RNA (270 nucleotides) under plant metagenome. RNAcentral's name for it is "partial contains small subunit ribosomal RNA and internal transcribed spacer 1". The stretch from base 1 to 46 matches the Rfam family "Eukaryotic small subunit ribosomal RNA", at positions 1786 to 1831 of the family's 1831-position model. The record is from RNAcentral.
AAGUCGUAACAAGGUUUCCGUAGGUGAACCUACGGAAGGAUCAUUACAAAUAAAGCCGGUAGGAGGUGGGGUCUUGAUCUGUAAGUGGUAGAGCGAACAGUCCGGCUGCCUCCCGAAAUGUCUUACAUGGCCCCCCACAGCCUGAAGGCCGAAUUACAACCCCUUGAUUAUCCUAACACUUGUUGCUUUGGGGUGCUCAAGUGCCCCAGAGGACCCAAAAUCUUUUAGCAAUUUUAGUGACGGUCUGAGUACUAUAUAAAUAUUUAAAAA